UACGAAGGGGGCUAGCGUUGCUCGGAAUCACUGGGCGUAAAGGGUGCGUAGGCGGGUCUUUAAGUCAGGGUUGAAAUCCUGGAGCUCAACUCCAGAACUGCCUUUGAUACUGAAGAUCUUGAGUUCGGGAGAGGUGAGUGGAACUGAGAGUGUAGAGGUGAAAUUCGUAGAUAUUCGCAAGAACACCAGUGGCGAAGGCGGCUCUCUGGCCCGAUACUGACGCUGAGGCACGAAAGCGUGGGGAGCAACCAGG
This 253-nucleotide ribosomal RNA is filed under the name uncultured bacterium. Its description in RNAcentral is "partial 16S ribosomal RNA". It matches the Rfam family "Bacterial small subunit ribosomal RNA", at positions 524 to 776 of the family's 1533-position model. The record is from RNAcentral.